RNAcentral lists this ribosomal RNA (494 nucleotides) under uncultured bacterium. Its description in RNAcentral is "partial 16S ribosomal RNA". It matches the Rfam family "Bacterial small subunit ribosomal RNA", at positions 28 to 507 of the family's 1533-position model. The record is from RNAcentral.
GACGAACGCUGGCGGCGUGCUUAACACAUGCAAGUCGAACGGUGAAGCGCCUUCCUUUUUGGUGGGUGUGGAUGAGUGGCGAACGGGUGAGUAACACGUGAGUAACCCGCCCCCUUCUUCUGGAUAACCGCAUGAAAGUGUGGCUAAUACGGGAUAUUCUGGGUCUGUCGCAUGAUGGGUCUGGGAAAGAUAUUGUUUCGGUGGGGGAUGGGCUCGCGGCCUAUCAGCUUGUUGGUGGGGUGAUGGCCUACCAAGGCGGUGACGGGUAGCCGGCCUGAGAGGGUGGACGGUCACACUGGGACUGAGACACGGCCCAGACUCCUACGGGAGGCAGCAGUGGGGAAUAUUGCACAAUGGGCGCAAGCCUGAUGCAGCGACGCCGCGUGAGGGAUGGAGGCCUUCGGGUUGUGAACCUCUUUCGCCAGUGAAGCAGGCCUGCCUCGUUUGUGGGUGGGUUGACGGUAGCUGGAUAAGAAGCGCCGGCUAACUACGUG